GGUUGAGAUGGAAAUAAGAGACAGACUUGUUGAAAGUCUCUGGGUAAGAUAAAAGGGGUAAAAAACCCAAGGGUGAUAUCCUGGUAGGGGUCUACUAAAGACCACCUAACCAGGAAGAAGAGGUGGAUGAGGCUUUUUUUAAACAGCUAACAAAA
This is a long non-coding RNA of Dermochelys coriacea (leatherback sea turtle), 155 nucleotides long. RefSeq lists it as uncharacterized. The record is from RefSeq and is a predicted model, not a curated record. The transcript is spliced from 2 exons. Lineage: Eukaryota; Metazoa; Chordata; Testudines; Dermochelyidae.